Molecule: ribosomal RNA, 305 nt
Filed under: uncultured bacterium
Lineage: Bacteria
Description: bacterial SSU rRNA
Rfam family: Bacterial small subunit ribosomal RNA
Source: RNAcentral
UGCUUCCUACGGGAGGCAGCAGUGGAGAAUAUUGCACAAUGGGGGAAACCCUGAUGCAGCGACGCCGCGUGAGUGAAGAAGUAAUUCGUUACGUAAAGCUCUAUCAGCAGGGAAGAGAAUGACGGUACCUGAGUAAGAAGCCCCGGCUAACUACGUGCCAGCAGCCGCGGUAAUACGUAGGGGGCAAGCGUUAUCCGGAUUUACUGGGUGUAAAGGGAGUGUAGACGGCAGCGCAAGUCUGGAGUGAAAUGCCGGGGCCCAACCCCGGAACUGCUCUGGAAACUGUGAAGCUGGAGUGCAGGAGG